CUACGGGAGGCAGCAGCAGGGAAUAUUGGGCAAUGGGCGAAAGCCUGACCCAGCGACGCCGCGUGUGUGAUGAAGGCCUUCGGGUCGUAAAGCACUUUUCUGGGAGAUGAGAAAGGACAGUAUCCCAGGAAUAAGUCUCGGCUAACUACGUGCCAGCAGCCGCGGUAAAACGUAGGAGGCGAGCGUUAUCCGGAUUCACUGGGCGUAAAGCGCGUGCAGGUGGCGCGGUAAGUUGGGCGUGAAAUCUCCCGGCUCAACUGGGAGAGGUCGUCCAAUACUACCGUGCUUGAGAGCAGAAGAGGAAGAUGGAAUUCCCGGUGUAGUGGUGAAAUGCGUAGAUAUCGGGAGGAACACCAGUGGCGAAGGCGGCUCUCUGGUCUGCAACUGACACUGAAGCGCGAAAGCUAGGGGAGCAAACGGGAUUAGAUACCCGGGUAGUCC
This 441-nucleotide ribosomal RNA is filed under the name uncultured bacterium. Its description in RNAcentral is "bacterial SSU rRNA". It matches the Rfam family "Bacterial small subunit ribosomal RNA", at positions 339 to 796 of the family's 1533-position model. The record is from RNAcentral.